AGUGAACGCUGGCGGUAGGCCUAACACAUGCAAGUCGAACGGCAGCACAGUAAGAGCUUGCUCUUACGGGUGGCGAGUGGCGGACGGGUGAGGAAUACAUCGGAAUCUACUUUUUCGUGGGGGAUAACGUAGGGAAACUUACGCUAAUACAGCAUACGACCUACGGGUGAAAGCAGGGGAUCUUCGGACCUUGCGCGAUUGAAUGAGCCGAUGUCGGAUUAGGUAGUUGGCGGGGUAAAGGCCCACCAAGGCGACGAUCGGUAGCUGGUCUGAGAGGACGACAAGCCAAACUGGGAAGGAGACACGGCCCAGACUCCGACGGGAGGCAGCAGUGGGGAAGUUUGGACAAUGGGGGCGAACCUGAUCAAGCCAUGCCGAGUGAGGGAAGAAGGCUUUCUGGUUGUAAACCGCUUUUGUUCGGGAAGAAAUCCUAUGGGCUAAUACCCCGGGGGGAUGACGGUACCGGAAGAAUAAGCAGCGGCUAACUACGUG
RNAcentral lists this ribosomal RNA (492 nucleotides) under uncultured bacterium. RNAcentral's name for it is "partial 16S ribosomal RNA". It matches the Rfam family "Bacterial small subunit ribosomal RNA", at positions 29 to 507 of the family's 1533-position model. The record is from RNAcentral.